UUAAGUUCAGCGCGUAUUCCUACCUGAUCCGAGGUCAACCUUGAAGAAAUUUCCUGGUUAAAGGAGAAGGACCGGGUCCUGGGUGCCCUUGUCCGGUACGUGCUCAGUUAAAAGCUCAGUGUACCGGGGGAUCCGCAGGCCGCCGUCAUUGUCUUUAGGAGGGGUCGAUAUCACACGACCAAAGUCCGUCCAACACCAAG
RNAcentral lists this unclassified non-coding RNA (200 nucleotides) under Phialophora sp. RNAcentral's name for it is "partial internal transcribed spacer 2". The record is from RNAcentral. Lineage: Eukaryota; Fungi; Ascomycota; Eurotiomycetes; Chaetothyriales; Herpotrichiellaceae.